Molecule: ribosomal RNA, 253 nt
Filed under: uncultured bacterium
Lineage: Bacteria
Description: partial 16S ribosomal RNA
Rfam family: Bacterial small subunit ribosomal RNA
Source: RNAcentral
UACGUAGGGUGCAAGCGUUGUCCGGAAUUACUGGGCGUAAAGCGCGUGUAGGCGGCUCUGCAAGUCGGAUGUGGAAUCCCACGGCUCAACCAUGGAAGUGCAUUCGAAACUGCAGGGCUAGAGUCCUGGAGAGGAAGGUGGAAUGCUUGGUGUAGAGGUGAAAUUCGUAGAUAUCAAGCGGAACACCGGUGGCGAAGGCGGCCUUCUGGACAGUGACUGACGCUGAGACGCGAAAGCGUGGGGAGCAAACAGG